RNAcentral lists this small RNA (134 nucleotides) under Alteromonadaceae bacterium Bs31. RNAcentral describes it as "Guanidine-I riboswitch aptamer". It matches the Rfam family "Guanidine-I riboswitch aptamer". Rfam says of the family: This family represents a conserved RNA structure found upstream of the ykkC and yxkD genes in Bacillus subtilis and related genes in other bacteria. The function of this family is unclear although it has been suggested that it may function to switch on efflux pumps and detoxification systems in response to harmful environmental molecules. The record is from Rfam by way of RNAcentral. Lineage: Bacteria; Pseudomonadati; Pseudomonadota; Gammaproteobacteria; Alteromonadales; Alteromonadaceae. RNAcentral also lists the same sequence under 1 other name.
AAAAAGGAAAGCUAGGGUUCCGGUGGCAUAGUGCCACGACUGGUCCAAGAGCUUUCGACCUGUUUAAGCCUGCGCACACCCAUUUUUGAGCAGUUUCUUAAGAGGUUACACGGCGGGAUAAAAGCCCGGGAGGC